AAACUAACAAGGAUUCCCCUAGUAACGGCGAGUGAAGCGGGAUGAGCUCAAGCUUAAAAUCUCUGUGCCAGUUUGGCAUGGCGAAUUGUAGUCUAUGGAGGCGCUGUCAGUGCGAUUGUUCGGGGUAAGUUCCUUGGAAGAGGACAGCAUCGAGGGUGAUACUCCCGUAUGUACCUGUUCAGUCGCGCGUACGACACGUUUUCUUCGAGUCGCGUUGUUUGGGAAUGCAGCGCAAAGUAGGUGGUAAAUUCCAUCUAAAGCUAAAUAUUGGUGCGAGACCGAUAGCGAACAAGUACCGUGAGGGAAAGAUGAAAAGAACUUUGAAAAGAGAGUUAAAGAGUACCUGAAACUGCUGAAAGGGAACCGAAUCGUUUCCAGUGUCUAUAAUCCAUGGUAUAUUUCAUUGGCGCGUGAGUGCGUGCAGCGUUUUGGAAGCGGUCUCCGCUCCUGUCGUUGUUGUGCAUUUGCUUGCUGGUGCCCUGUGCUGUGGUGGGACGUCAGAGUCAGUUUGUAUGUUGCGGGAAAUGGUUAUCAGGGAGGUAGGUCGCUUCGGUGGCUGUUAUAUCCUGGUAACUAGUCGUCGUGGCUGAGACUGAGGUGCCUACAACGCGCUUUCGAGUCUGCGGGCUUCUCGUGUGGCUGUUUGCUUUGAUAGCUUGCUAUGUUGGCGAAUAAGUCGUGCGAUUGAGACCUGUAGUAACUUGUUGCCGUUCGGGACUUUGACGAAAUGGAGCGAUCCGAC
Molecule: ribosomal RNA, 742 nt
Filed under: Pythium catenulatum
Lineage: Eukaryota; Oomycota; Peronosporomycetes; Pythiales; Pythiaceae
Description: LSU rRNA
Rfam family: Eukaryotic large subunit ribosomal RNA
Source: RNAcentral